Vibrio anguillarum 775 is the source of this 103-nucleotide non-coding RNA. NCBI's taxonomy places the organism in Bacteria, Pseudomonadati, Pseudomonadota, Gammaproteobacteria, Vibrionales, Vibrionaceae. The record is from Rfam.
CUCAAUUGGUGGCACACUUGGACAAGUUCUUGGUGGGCAACCGUGUACUUUUAAAAUAGAACACGAAUUCACAAAGCCCGCCUCAAUGAGCGGGCUUUUUAUU